GAAAGGAGAGGGCGGCUUCCGGGAUCUGGCUGGCGGGCGCUUUGUCCGGCCUUCUCCACAGUAGGCUCUUUCUGUUAGUCUCUGCUGCUACUUCUUGGCUCUGGGAGGCCCAAGUGGCUCUGCAGCAGUCUCUGCCACCGUGUGACCUGCGGGUAUUGGGACAUCCCUAGCUGACGCCAGGACACCCGGGAAGCUGAGGAAUGGUGAGUGGACUGCGCCUGGCUUCCCGAAGUGGGGAAGAGGUCUGGUUGAAACCUGCUGGAACCAGUCAUCGGCUGCGGAACCUGCGGACCGAGUCGCCGCGCGCAGCCGGGCCUCAGUCCUCUUCUGCGCAGGGCCGGGCGGGGCAGGCAGCGGGACCCCUGCGUCCUGUCUGUACCUGUGGGCGCCACUUCCGCCGGCCGGAGCCCUCUCGGGAACCCCGCGCCUCCGCCACCCAGGUAGUGCGGUGACCACGGGAGGCUGAUCCGGGAGAGCCCCGACUCGGACUCUGUGGCUUUUGAGGAUGUGGCUGUGAACUUUACCCAGGAGGAAUGGGCUUUGCUAGAUUCUUCUCAGAAGAAUCUCUGCAGAGAAGUGAUGCGGGAAGCCUGCAUGAACCUGGCUUCUGUAGAAAUCAUAUGGUACAGAGACUGUGUGAAAGCAAAGAAGGUAGUCAGUAUGAUGGACAAGUUGUCAGCCAAAUUCCGAAUCUUGAUCUGAAUGAGAACAUUUCUACUGGAUAAAAACAAUGUGAAUGCAGUAUUUGUGGGAAAGUCUUUGUACGUCAUUCCCUUCUUAAUAGGCACAUCCUAGCUCACUCAGGAUACAAACCAUAUGGAAAGAAGCAACAUAAAUGUGAACAAUGUGGGAAAUUCUUCGUUUCUGUUCCAGGUGUUAGAAGACACAGGAUAAUGCACAGUGGAAAUCCAGUUAUAAAUGUACGAUAUGUAAGAAAGCAUUUUAUUUUCUCAAUUCAUUUGAAAGACAUCUGAUGUACCAAAUGUGAUAAAACCUUCAGCUGUUCCACUUCCCUUCAUGACCAUGGAAGCAUUCAUACUGGAGAGAGACCCUAUGAAUGUAAACAUUGUGGCAAAGCCUUUAGUCACUUGAGUUCCCUUUGUAACCAUAGAAAUACUCAUACUGGAGAGAAACCCUAUGAAUAUAAACAAUGUGACUAAGCCUUCAGUCGCCUCAGGUCCCUUCACCUCCACGAAAGAAUUCAUACUGGAGAAAAGCCCUAUGAAUGUAAGAGAUGCGGUAAAGGCUACACUCGUUCCAGUCACCUUACUCGCCAUGAAAGAAGUCAUGAUAUAGAGGCUGGGUGUAGUGACUCAGCCUACAAUCCCAGCACUUUGGGAGGCCAAGGUGUGUGUAUUGCUUGAGCCCAGGAGUUCAUAACCAGCCCGAAUUAAAACAAUGUGAAACAACCUGGGCA
This is a long non-coding RNA of Rhinopithecus roxellana (golden snub-nosed monkey), 1417 nucleotides long. RefSeq lists it as uncharacterized. The transcript is spliced from 3 exons. Lineage: Eukaryota; Metazoa; Chordata; Mammalia; Primates; Cercopithecidae. The record is from RefSeq and is a predicted model, not a curated record.